Molecule: small nuclear RNA, 141 nt
Organism: Erinaceus europaeus (western European hedgehog)
Lineage: Eukaryota; Metazoa; Chordata; Mammalia; Eulipotyphla; Erinaceidae
Gene: U4
Rfam family: U4 spliceosomal RNA
About the family: U4 small nuclear RNA (U4 snRNA) is a component of the major U2-dependent spliceosome. The structure of U4 snRNA from yeast and human has been reported.
Source: Ensembl
AGCUUUGCACAGUGGCAGUGACCAUAGGCAUUGAGGUUUGUGCAAGACAAGAUUAUUGUUAAGUGAAAACUUUUCCCAAUGCCCUCCUAUGAUGACUUGAAAUGUAGUCAACAUUGGCAAAUUUGAUAGUCUCUACAGAGA